Molecule: non-coding RNA, 476 nt
Organism: Paramuricea clavata
Lineage: Eukaryota; Metazoa; Cnidaria; Anthozoa; Malacalcyonacea; Plexauridae
Source: the annotation of a GenBank genome assembly
CAAAAUGUAACCGAAAUGAGUGUGCUUUAUUAAAUUACUACGUUCGCAAGGACGCCGCGAACGGGGUGGUGUUAAGCCCUCCCCCAAACACACACUUUUCAGCGAACGACUCAGUCGGUGAACUAGUCAAUUGAUACCCUCGGUAAACUGUCAUCUAUGGUCAAAAAAUAUUUGAAUAGGAUUUGGUAGACCGGCUAAUGAUCUUUGAUUAAUCUUUGACCGACGUCAUAUGCAGUCUGUCAAUCAAUUACAACGAGUACAAAGAACCAGGAAUAUUAUAUGACGUUGUUUCAUAUAUCGCGUGGAAUUAAUUUUAAAUUAGUUUGGAAAUUUCCAAAAUUGCCGCUUAAAGAGGGUUAAGCCAUGACUGCCAUUGUCAUAAAGGUACAUGCAACAUUUUCCACAACUGAAAGGGGGAAGGGCAAAAGUGGCCCGAGUAGGAGUAGGACAAUACCAGUGACCCAAAAAUAUUUUAU